AAUCCGCGGCACAGAACCACGCUCCUGGAUGUUGGUGAGAACAAUUUAGGAGACGCAAAAGACCUAGUGUUUGGGCCCCAUCUUUCCAAGCGCUGGUGUCCCAGACACCCCUUCCACUCUCCGAAUCCCUGUCUGGUCCUGGCUGAAAGGCACUGUCCUGCGCUUCCGUUUCAGCUCCGGCUCCUCCCGGCUUCCCAGUCGGACCUCGGGGGCGGCAUGGGCGCAGGCUGCCAGACACCCGGCCGCUGCUGUGCACCCUGGUCUCAAUGCUGCCGUCUGCUCGGGCUCAUCCAAGGGAACCGAGAGGAAACUGAGGCGCCGGAGAAGCCAAAGACCGCUCUCCUCACCGCUGGUCCCUGCUGUGCGUUCUCACUGCAGCCGUCCGCUGCCCAGACUAGUGUUCGAGUAAGUCUGCCCUCCCUCCCCCUUUAAAUAAAAGAUCAGCUCGAAACCCA
Mustela erminea (ermine) is the source of this 455-nucleotide long non-coding RNA. RefSeq lists it as uncharacterized. The record is from RefSeq and is a predicted model, not a curated record. NCBI's taxonomy places the organism in Eukaryota, Metazoa, Chordata, Mammalia, Carnivora, Mustelidae. The transcript is spliced from 2 exons.